RNAcentral lists this ribosomal RNA (456 nucleotides) under uncultured Chloroflexota bacterium. RNAcentral describes it as "bacterial SSU rRNA". It matches the Rfam family "Bacterial small subunit ribosomal RNA", at positions 356 to 828 of the family's 1533-position model. The record is from RNAcentral. Lineage: Bacteria; Bacillati; Chloroflexota.
AAGGAAUAUUGUGCAAUGGGCGAAAGCCUGACACAGCGACGCCGCGUGGGGGAUGAAUGCUUUCGGGUUGUAAACCCCUUUUCUCAGGGAAGAACAAUGACGGUACCUGAGGAAUAAGUCUCGGCUAACUACGUGCCAGCAGCCGCGGUAAUACGUAGGAGGCGAGCGUUAUCCGGAUUUACUGGGCGUAAAGCGGGCGUAGGCGGUCCUUCAAGUCGGAUGUAAAAUCUCCCGGCUCAACUGGGAGGGACCAUUCGAAACUGCUGGGCUUGAGGAUAGCAGAGGGAGGUGGAAUUCCCGGUGUAGUGGUGAUAUGCGUAGAUAUCGGGAGGAACACCAGUGGCGAAGGCGGCCUCCUGGGCUAUWUCUGACGCUGAGGCCCAAAAGCGUGGGGAGCGAACAGGAUUAGAUACCCUGGUAGUCCACGCUGUAAACGAUGGACACUAGGUAUGGGGA